Molecule: ribosomal RNA, 401 nt
Filed under: uncultured bacterium
Lineage: Bacteria
Description: bacterial SSU rRNA
Rfam family: Bacterial small subunit ribosomal RNA
Source: RNAcentral
GGGGAAUCUUGCACAAUGGGGGCAACCCUGAUGCAGCGACGCCGCGUGAGCGAUGAAGCCCUUCGGGGCGUAAAGCUCUUUCGACCGGAACGAUAAUGACGGUACCGGGAGAAGAAGCUGCGGCUAACUACGUGCCAGCAGCCGCGGUAAUACGUAGGCAGCAAGCGUUGUUCGGAGUUACUGGGCGUAAAGAGUGCGUAGGCGGUUUUCUAAGUUCGGUGUGAAAUCUCCCGGCUUAACUGGGAGGGUGCGCCGAAGACUGGGAAGCUGGAGUGUGGGAAAGGCAGGCGGAAUUCCAGGUGUAGCGGUGAAAUGCGUAGAUAUCAGGAGGAACACCGGCGGUGUAGACGGCUUGCUAGACCAUAACUGACGCUGAGGCACGAAAGCGUGGGUAGCAAACA